CAACAAGGUAUACCUUCUUUUCCGGAAGCUCAUCUUCAAAGAACUCCAAAGUUAAGCGUGCUUGGCUUGGAGCAAUUUGAGGAUGGGUGACCGACCGGGAAGUUGUUCCCGGGUGCGCAU
This 120-nucleotide ribosomal RNA is filed under the name Deschampsia antarctica (Antarctic hairgrass). The record is from RNAcentral. Lineage: Eukaryota; Viridiplantae; Streptophyta; Magnoliopsida; Poales; Poaceae.